GAUGAACGCUGGCGGCGUGCCUAAUACAUGCAAGUCGAGCGAACGGACGAGGAGCUUGCUCCUCUGACGUUAGCGGCGGACGGGUGAGUAACACGUGGAUAACCUACCUAUAAGACUGGGAUAACUUCGGGAAACCGGAGCUAAUACCGGAUAAUAUAUUGAACCGCAUGGUUCAAUAGUGAAAGACGGUUUUGCUGUCACUUAUAGAUGGAUCCGCGCCGCAUUAGCUAGUUGGUAAGGUAACGGCUUACCAAGGCAACGAUGCGUAGCCGACCUGAGAGGGUGAUCGGCCACACUGGAGCUGAGACACGGUCCAGACUCCUACGGGAGGCAGCAGUAGGGAAUCUUCCGCAAUGGGCGAAAGCCUGACGGAGCAACGCCGCGUGAGUGAUGAAGGUCUUCGGAUCGUAAAACUCUGUUAUUAGGGAAGAACAAAUGUGUAAGUAACUAUGCACGUCUUGACGGUACCUAAUCAGAAAGCCACGGCUAACUACGUG
Molecule: ribosomal RNA, 497 nt
Filed under: uncultured bacterium
Lineage: Bacteria
Description: partial 16S ribosomal RNA
Rfam family: Bacterial small subunit ribosomal RNA
Source: RNAcentral